RNAcentral lists this transfer RNA (75 nucleotides) under Candidatus Azambacteria bacterium. RNAcentral describes it as "tRNA-Ile". It matches the Rfam family "tRNA". Rfam says of the family: Transfer RNA (tRNA) molecules are approximately 80 nucleotides in length. The record is from RNAcentral. Lineage: Bacteria; Candidatus Azamiibacteriota.
GCACGGGUAGCUCAACGGUAGAGCAGUUGCUUUAUAAGCGAUUGGUUGGAGGUUCGAAUCCUCCCCCGUGUACCA